UUGCCUGAUGAUUGAAAUACAAAAGUAUGAUAUGUGUUAUGCUACAGAGUGUGCAUGAUCUUAUGAUGUUUAUAAUGUUAUUGUUUUCAUAAGUUGUUUUCAUGAAUCUCACCGAGGUAAGUGGACAGUAAAGGGUUUUAUUAUUGAUAAAUGAAUUUGUUAUGAAUUAUGCUCCAUUGGUCGUUUUUAUUUUCUACCAACCUU
Molecule: long non-coding RNA, 204 nt
Filed under: Carica papaya (papaya)
Lineage: Eukaryota; Viridiplantae; Streptophyta; Magnoliopsida; Brassicales; Caricaceae
Description: long non-coding RNA (CPAP_LNC002015)
Source: RNAcentral